UACAGAGGGGGCAAGCGUUAUUCGGAAUUAUUGGGCGUAAAGGGCGCGUAGGCGGCUUGGCAAGUGGAUGGUGAAAUCCCUCGGCUUAACCGAGGAACUGCCGUCCAAACUGCUUCGCUUGAGACCGGGAGAGGUGAGUGGAAUUCCCAGUGUAGCGGUGAAAUGCGUAGAUAUUGGGAGGAACACCAGUGGCGAAGGCGGCUCACUGGACCGGUACUGACGCUGAUGCGCGAAAGCUAGGGGAGCAAACGGG
RNAcentral lists this ribosomal RNA (253 nucleotides) under uncultured bacterium. RNAcentral's name for it is "partial 16S ribosomal RNA". It matches the Rfam family "Bacterial small subunit ribosomal RNA", at positions 524 to 776 of the family's 1533-position model. The record is from RNAcentral.